This is a long non-coding RNA of Pseudophryne corroboree (corroboree frog), 643 nucleotides long. RefSeq lists it as uncharacterized. The record is from RefSeq and is a predicted model, not a curated record. NCBI's taxonomy places the organism in Eukaryota, Metazoa, Chordata, Amphibia, Anura, Myobatrachidae. The transcript is spliced from 3 exons.
GGAAGACUGGAGGGAUCUGUGUGAGAGAAACACGCUUCCGGAUACAAGAAAAAAACACAACUGAUGACUGUCAUUUUCAGACUAUUAGUUUACUAAUCCCGCAGAAGACCUCAGCACUCUGUGUCCUGGCUUUGUCUUGUCUGUUACACACUAACGCACAAUGCAGAGCCUACAUAGCAGGAACAAGCCUUGAAUUGGAUCUAUAAUAGCGUGUUUCAGCUCAUUUGGAUUGCAGACAGAACUCCAGAUAUCAGAACAAUGCAGAUCCCUCUUAUUAAACCACUACCUACAGGGUCUUGUCACCUGCAAUCUCCUAUUAUCUGCUUAUCGGGAAGGAGCGAUGCUUGACUUGUUGUGUGGGAGCGCCCGCUUAGCAACCAGACAAUUAGUAAAUCACCAGCGUGAUGCCCACUCUACCACAUUGAGACAUCCUGGCAUUCUAUUAAUGCACAGCCUUCUGUACUAAGCUUAUUUCAUACGGUGUAAUGAAACAGUACAGUAUAUGAAAAAAUGAAAUAAAAAUAAGACGCCACCACCUAUUAUCCUUAUCGCUUAUUUAUAAAGCGCCAACAUAUUACGGGGUCAAUUCCAUUGGACACGAGGAGUGCAGCAACGGCACCCCAUCUUGUCCCCCUCGUGUCUC